AACGCGAAGAACCUUACCAGCUCUUGACAUGUCUCGUAUGGGGACCGGAGACGGUUUCUUUCAGUUCGGCUGGCGGGAACACAGGUGCUGCAUGGCUGUCGUCAGCUCGUGUCGUGAGAUGUUGGGUUAAGUCCCGCAACGAGCGCAACCCUCGCCCUUAGUUGCCAUCAUUCAGUUGGGCACUCUAGGGGGACUGCCGGUGAUAAGCCGAGAGGAAGGUGGGGAUGACGUCAAGUCCUCAUGGCCCUUACGGGCUGGGCUACACACGUGCUACAAUGGCGGUGACAAUGGGAUGCUGAGGGGCGACCCCGAGCAAAUCUCAAAAAGCCGUCUCAGUUCGGAUUGCACUCUGCAACUCGAGUGCAUGAAGGUGGAAUCGCUAGUAAUCGUAGAUCAGAACGCUACGGUGAAUACGUUCCCGGGCCUUGUA
Molecule: ribosomal RNA, 430 nt
Filed under: uncultured Alphaproteobacteria bacterium
Lineage: Bacteria; Pseudomonadati; Pseudomonadota; Alphaproteobacteria
Description: bacterial SSU rRNA
Rfam family: Bacterial small subunit ribosomal RNA
Source: RNAcentral